UGAGGAACAUGACCUUCGGCGGGGGAUAGCCGGCCCAACGGCCGGGUAAUACCGCGUACGACCUUUUGGGGACAUCCCCGAUUGGUGAAAGCAGCAAUGCGCCGAAAGAGUGCCUCGCGGCCUAUCAGCUAGUUGGUGGGGUAAUGGCUCACCAAGGCGACGACGGGUAGCUGGUCUGAGAGGAUGGCCAGCCACAUUGGGACUGAGACACGGCCCAGACUCCUA
Molecule: ribosomal RNA, 225 nt
Filed under: uncultured bacterium
Lineage: Bacteria
Description: partial 16S ribosomal RNA
Rfam family: Bacterial small subunit ribosomal RNA
Source: RNAcentral